UACCGCAUAACCAUAGUUACCGCAUGGUAGCUAUGUAAAAGGUGGCUAUGCUACCGCUUUUGGAUGGGCCCGCGGCGCAUUAGCUAGUUGGUGGGGUAAAGGCUUACCAAGGCAAUGAUGCGUAGCCGAACUGAGAGGUUGAUCGGCCACAUUGGGACUGAGACACGGCCCAAACUCCUACGGGAGGCAGCAGUAGGGAAUCUUCCACAAUGGGCGAAAGCCUGAUGGAGCAACGCCGCGUGGGUGAAGAAGGUCUUCGGAUCGUAAAACCCUGUUGUUAGAGAAGAAAGUGCGUGAGAGUAACUGUUCACGUUUCGACGGUAUCUAACCAGAAAGCCACGGCUAACUACGUGCCAGCAGCCGCGGUAAUACGUAGGUGGCAAGCGUUAUCCGGAUUUAUUGGGCGUAAAGGGAACGCAGGCGGUCUUUUAAGUCUGAUGUGAAAGCCUUCGGCUUAACCGGAGUAGUGCAUUGGAAACUGGGAGACUUGAGUGCAGAAGAGGAGAGUGGAACUCCAUGUGUAGCGGUGAAAUGCGUAGAUAUAUGGAAGAACACCAGUGGCGAAAGCGGCUCUCUGGUCUGUAACUGACGCUGAGGUUCGAAAGCGUGGGUAGCAAACAGGAUUAGAUACCCUGGUAGUCCACGCCGUAAACGA
Molecule: ribosomal RNA, 655 nt
Filed under: uncultured bacterium
Lineage: Bacteria
Description: bacterial SSU rRNA
Rfam family: Bacterial small subunit ribosomal RNA
Source: RNAcentral